GGCCAUAUCAUGUUGAAACACUGGUUCCUGUAAAGAACACCAAAGUUAAGUAAUAUCAAGCCUGAUCAGUACAUAGAUGGGUGACCACCUGGGAAUACCAGGUGCUAUA
Non-coding RNA from Acanthosepion pharaonis, 109 nucleotides. The record is from the annotation of a GenBank genome assembly. NCBI's taxonomy places the organism in Eukaryota, Metazoa, Mollusca, Cephalopoda, Sepiida, Sepiidae.